RNAcentral lists this ribosomal RNA (1026 nucleotides) under Triticum aestivum (bread wheat). RNAcentral describes it as "partial small subunit ribosomal RNA". Lineage: Eukaryota; Viridiplantae; Streptophyta; Magnoliopsida; Poales; Poaceae. The record is from RNAcentral.
AUGGAGCCGUCAAGCAUGUGCGUGCAGUUGGGUACCUGCAAUGGAGUCCUGGUGCGCGGUGAGGGCGCGGUGCAUCUCGACGAGCUGCUCGCAGAUGGUGGCGUAGAUGGAGAUCUGCUUCCGGAGCACCUCCAUCUGCUCGUCCGUCAUCACCUUGACGUACCCCAGCGCCUCGCCCCUCUCCUCCGCCGGCUCGCCGGCCACCGCCGCCGCCGCCGCCGCGGCGGAGGCCUUGUCCCACUCCAUGGUCAGCCCGCUCACUCGCAAAAAAAGGAGGCACACAGGCUGGCUCUGGGGAGGAAAGAGGCAGGAAGGAUGGGAUUUUUGGAAAGAAAGAAAAGGACGGGAUCCUGGUGCCGUGGAAACGGAAGGAAAUCCGCUCGGCCGAUUCCGAAUCCCGGCUGCGGCGGGGCGGUGGAGGCUCGCGAAAGGAAAGAGCAAGAUGGAUACGGCGCCUUUCCCAGUUUUCCUCCAGCCGUCUGGGGUAUGUGCGUACGUGAUUGUUGGGAACGAAGUGUGCUGCCGGAGAACUUUGGCGGAGGCGCGGGUGGGGCUCGGGGACGGGGCCGGAGGUGCUGGCGGAGGCAGCUCUGGGGCCGGCGCGGGUGGAGCUCGGGGGGCGGGGCGUGGGGCGCAGGAUUGUGGGUGGGCGCGGGCCGGAGUUUGGGCUCGGGGUGGAGCCGCCGGAAGGAAACAGGUCUGCAAGAAGAAGUGCGAGGGAAUGGAGAAAGAAGAAGAGGUGUCUGCGACAGAGGAGCCGAAGAAGAAGAAGAAGGGGCAGAAAAAAAAGCCGACAGCUCGUGCCAAGGCUUGCAGCUUUGGAUUGGGAAAAGCUGGACAGAGAAACCAGGCAGGGAACUAUACUCUAGUAGUACUACUCUGGCUCUCUCUCUCUCUCCCUGGCUAUUUUGUCUUGGAGGUAGUGGCACUGGCUCAGGCUCAGCACUCACUCGCCUCCUCGCAGUGCUGCCGCUGGCUUCAAGAACGCCAUGGCCAUCCCAUGCACGGCCGAGAGAAUUAAUUUGA